UGUUGCCUCGGCGCAUGCCGGCCUCACUGAGGCCCCUCGGAAACGAGGAGCAGCCCGCCGGCGGCCAACCAAACUCUUGUUUCUUAGUGGAUCUCUGAGUAGAAAAACAUAAAUGAAUCAAAACUUUCAACAACGGAUCUCUUGGUUCUGGCAUCGAUGAAGAACGCAGCGAAAUGCGAUAAGUAAUGUGAAUUGCAGAAUUCAGUGAAUCAUCGAAUCUUUGAACGCACAUUGCGCCCUCUGGUAUUCCGGAGGGCAUGCCUGUUCGAGCGUCAUUUCAACCCUCAAGCACUGCUUGGUGUUGGGGCACCGCCUGUAAAAGGGCGGGCCCUGAAAUCUAGUGGCGAGCUCGCCAGGACCCCGAGCGUAGUAAUUAUAUUUCGUUCUGGAAGGCCCUGGCGGUGCCCUGCCGUUAAACCCCCAACUUCUGAAAAUUUGACCUCGGAUCAGGUAGGAAUACCCGCUGAACUUAAGCAUAUCAAUAAGGC
RNAcentral lists this ribosomal RNA (488 nucleotides) under Phomopsis sp. ca_besc_196b. RNAcentral's name for it is "eukaryotic LSU rRNA". The stretch from base 122 to 275 matches the Rfam family "5.8S ribosomal RNA". Lineage: Eukaryota; Fungi; Ascomycota; Sordariomycetes; Diaporthales; Diaporthaceae. The record is from RNAcentral.